Molecule: ribosomal RNA, 1374 nt
Filed under: uncultured bacterium
Lineage: Bacteria
Description: 16S ribosomal RNA
Rfam family: Bacterial small subunit ribosomal RNA
Source: RNAcentral
AGAGUUUGAUCCUGGCUCAGGAUGAACGCUAGCGGCAGGCUUAACACAUGCAAGUCGAGGGGCAGCGGGGAGGAAGCUUGCUUUCUCCGCCGGCGACCGGCGCACGGGUGAGUAACACGUAUGCAACCUGCCCCUGUCAGGGGGACAACCCGCCGAAAGGCGGGCUAAACCCGCGUACAUGCCACCGGGGCAUCCCGGAGGCAGGAAAGGCUUCGGCCGGACAGGGAUGGGCAUGCGGCGCAUUAGGCAGUAGGCGGGGUAACGGCCCACCUAACCGACGAUGCGUAGGGGUUCUGAGAGGAAGGUCCCCCACACUGGUACUGAGACACGGACCAGACUCCUACGGGAGGCAGCAGUGAGGAAUAUUGGUCAAUGGUCGGGAGACUGAACCAGCCAAGCCGCGUGAGGGAGGAAGGUACAGAGUAUCGUAAACCUCUUUUGUCAGGGAACAAAGGCGGGGACGUGUCCCCGGAUGAGUGUACCUGAAGAAAAAGCAUCGGCUAACUCCGUGCCAGCAGCCGCGGUAAUACGGAGGAUGCGAGCGUUAUCCGGAUUUAUUGGGUUUAAAGGGUGCGCAGGCGGUCUGUUAAGUCAGCGGUCAAAGCCCGGGGCUCAACCCCGGCCCGCCGUUGAAACUGGCAGUCUCGAGUUGGAGAGAAGUAUGCGGAAUGCGCGGUGUAGCGGUGAAAUGCAUAGAUAUCGCGCAGAACUCCGAUUGCGAAGGCAGCAUGCCGGCUCCACACUGACGCUGAGGCACGAAAGCGUGGGUAUCGAACAGGAUUAGAUACCCUGGUAGUCCACGCAGUAAACGAUGAAUGCUGGCUGUCCGGGGGGAUUGACCCCUGGGUGGCGAAGCGAAAGCGAUAAGCAUUCCACCUGGGGAGUACGCCGGCAACGGUGAAACUCAAAGGAAUUGACGGGGGCCCGCACAAGCGGAGGAACAUGUGGUUUAAUUCGAUGAUACGCGAGGAACCUUACCCGGGCUCAAACGGGGAGUGUCUCAGGCAGAGACGCCUGUUUCCCACGGGACACUCCCCGAGGUGCUGCAUGGUUGUCGUCAGCUCGUGCCGUGAGGUGUCGGCUUAAGUGCCAUAACGAGCGCAACCCCCGCGUGCAGUUGCUAACAGAUAACGCUGAGGACUCUGCACGGACUGCCGGCGCAAGCCGCGAGGAAGGCGGGGAUGACGUCAAAUCAGCACGGCCCUUACGUCCGGGGCGACACACGUGUUACAAUGGGUGGUACAGCGGGAAGCCAGGCGGCGACGCCGAGCGGAACCCGAAAUCCACUCUCAGUUCGGAUCGGAGUCUGCAACCCGACUCCGUGAAGCUGGAUUCGCUAGUAAUCGCGCAUCAGCCAUGGCGCGGUGAAUACGU